CUUGGGUACUGAGCGAGAGUCAUUACACAAAUAUGAAGGCGGGCUGGAACCUCUCGGGGUUACAGCCUUGCUGAAUUAUUCACCCUUGUCUUUUGCGUACUUCUUGUUUCCUUGGUGGGUUCGCCCACCACUAGGACAAACAUAAACCUUUUGUAAUUGCAAUCAGCGUCAGUAACAAAUUAAUAAUUACAACUUUCAACAACGGAUCUCUUGGUUCUGGCAUCGAUGAAGAACGCAGCGAAAUGCGAUAAGUAGUGUGAAUUGCAGAAUUCAGUGAAUCAUCGAAUCUUUGAACGCACAUUGCGCCCUUUGGUAUUCCAAAGGGCAUGCCUGUUCGAGCGUCAUUUGUACCCUCAAGCUUUGCUUGGUGUUGGGCGUCUUGUCUCUAGCUUUGCUGGAGACUCGCCUUAAAGUAAUUGGCAGCCGGCCUACUGGUUUCGGAGCGCAGCACAAGUCGCACUCUCUAUCAGCAAAGGUCUAGCAUCCAUUAAGCCUUUUUUCAACUUUGACCUCUGGAUGAAAAGGUUCACGUAUUAUACAAUUUUUUUAGUUUGG
RNAcentral lists this ribosomal RNA (555 nucleotides) under Alternaria alternata. Its description in RNAcentral is "eukaryotic LSU rRNA". The stretch from base 191 to 344 matches the Rfam family "5.8S ribosomal RNA". Lineage: Eukaryota; Fungi; Ascomycota; Dothideomycetes; Pleosporales; Pleosporaceae. The record is from RNAcentral.